GAAGAUGUUGUCAUUAACAACAUUAUUGGCUUCUCCCCUUCCUGGAAUGUAACCUGUAAAUUUAAAACAAAACUAGAGGAUCUUGACAUGAUAAAAUUAUUGCUAUUGCAGUCCUCAACGUGAUCACAUUGUUGCACAAUAUCAGAAAAUUUCAGAUUUGAACAAAUAUAAAUGCGGCGCACCAUGUACUCUCCUUUACAAUUAUAUGUGCCAAUGAAGUGAAAAGUAUUUGUAGACAAGUAUGGCUAUUCAGAAUUUGCAAAAAGC
Molecule: long non-coding RNA, 267 nt
Filed under: Setaria viridis
Lineage: Eukaryota; Viridiplantae; Streptophyta; Magnoliopsida; Poales; Poaceae
Description: long non-coding RNA (SVIR_LNC003358)
Source: RNAcentral